Molecule: long non-coding RNA, 1114 nt
Organism: Cyprinus carpio (common carp)
Lineage: Eukaryota; Metazoa; Chordata; Actinopteri; Cypriniformes; Cyprinidae
Exons: 5
Source: RefSeq, a predicted model, not a curated record
GAGUCUUUCGGGGCAUCUGGAGUUCGAGGCAGGAGACGUUCACAGCAGUUUCAUCCCGCAGCACUAUGAUCUUCCCAGCCGCUCGCAGGCUCUGUCAGGACGCUCUGGGACUGCCGCACCGCGAAAAACAGCACACAGAGAAACACAGAAACCAAACCAGUGACAUGUUCUCUCCGUUUGCCUCCAGUAACAGGAGACGACUCAAUGUCCUGCACUGCAGGAACCUGACACUGCAGCUCGGGACGACAAAGUGGAAUUAUCUAUUUCUUACAAUCCAGAUGGGACAUACAGUAUGGAGGUGCUAGUCAAGGCUGGAGACUCGGUCCAGAAAGGAGAUCCAUUAAUGGUGAUGAUUGGCAUGAAGAUGGAGCUUACCAUCCGUGCACCCAAAGCAGCAGUCAUCAAGAGGGUGUUCUUCACAGAGGGCUCACAGGCUAACCGUCACGCAGCUGUGGUAGAGAUGGAGGAAGAGGAAGGCGCUGGGGAAGAGUAAAUCUAGUGAUUCACAGACAGAUGACUGGAAAUCCUGUACAAUCUAGAAGAAGCACUACAAAUUAGUUUGGAUCUAAAAAUUAAAACUAGGAUCUUUAAGACGAUACAUCUUGUCACCUUUAUCUUUGCUUGUCAGAAAUUCAGUCCCCAAUAUCUUGGUGUUUCUGGUCUCCUGGUUCUUUUGUACCAUGAUAAUCAUGGUCAUUUUAUGGGUAAAUGAAGAUCAACGGCUGGAUGACUGUGGAAUGACUUGCCAUCUCUCUAUUAACAAAAAACACUGACUCAUGUUGUUGCUUGUCCCAUACCUGUGAAAUAGAGAACUCCUGUGAAGCAUUGUUUAAUACAGUAAUGUAUUUGUGGUCAAUAAGGUGCCUUGGUGUUAGUUUGACUACUAAACUUUUUAACAUUAAUCAUUAAUCAUUUAAUCAUCAACGAUUUUCCACCUUUGAGUUCAUAAUUAGUCUGACCAAUAAGGUAAAAAGAAUUUCUUCACUAUGUAACAAAAAGAAGUCACUGUUCACAAUCUAUGCAUCAAAUUCAGGUUUUGAUCCAAAUUCAUGGGUGUAAACCCCGACAACUGUCAACAACUUCAUUAUUCAGUAGAAUUAUACUUUAUUUAUAG